This 440-nucleotide ribosomal RNA is filed under the name uncultured bacterium. RNAcentral's name for it is "partial 16S ribosomal RNA". It matches the Rfam family "Bacterial small subunit ribosomal RNA", at positions 338 to 795 of the family's 1533-position model. The record is from RNAcentral.
UCUACGGGAGGCAGCAGUGGGGAAUAUUGCACAAUGGGCGAAACCCUGAUGCAGCGACGCCGCGUGAGCGAUGAAGGAUUUCGGUAUGUAAAGCUCUAUCAGCAGGGAAGAAAAGUACGGUACCUAACUAGGAAUGCCUGGCUAACUACGUCCCAGCAGCCGCGGUAAUACGUCGGGGGCCACCGUUAUCCGGAUUUACUGGGUGUAAAGGGGACGUAGCCGGCUUGGCAAGCCAGAUGUGAAAGGCUGGGGUCCAACCCCAGGACUGCAUUUGGCACUGGCAUGCUAGAGUGUCGGAGAGGCAGGCGGAAUUCCUGGUGUAGCGGUGAAAUGCGUAGAUAUUAGGAGGAACACCAGUGGCGAAGGCGGCCUGCUGGACUAUGACUGACGUUGAGGCUCGAAAGCGUGGGGAGCAAACAGGAUUAGAUACCCUAGUAGUC